UACGUAGGGGGCAAGCGUCGUCCGGAUUUAUUGGGCGUAAAGAGCGUGUAGGCGGCCAGGUAGGUCCGCUGUGAAAACUCGAGGCUCAACCUCGAGAUGUCGGCGGAAACCAUCUGGCUAGAGUCCGGAAGAGGAGAGUGGAAUUCCUGGUGUAGCGGUGAAAUGCGUAGAUAUCUGGAGGAACACCGGUGGCGAAGGCGGCAUCCUGGACCGAUACUGACGCUGAGGAGCGAAAGCCAGGGGAGCAAACGGG
Molecule: ribosomal RNA, 253 nt
Filed under: uncultured bacterium
Lineage: Bacteria
Description: partial 16S ribosomal RNA
Rfam family: Bacterial small subunit ribosomal RNA
Source: RNAcentral